RNAcentral lists this long non-coding RNA (3497 nucleotides) under Sus scrofa (pig). Its description in RNAcentral is "lncRNA (ENSSSCG00015042037.1)". The record is from RNAcentral. Lineage: Eukaryota; Metazoa; Chordata; Mammalia; Artiodactyla; Suidae.
UUUUUUUUUUUUUUUUUUUUUCUUCCCCCUCCAUAAACAAGUGAUUAAUGCCUUGCAAAAAGGCACAGACACACCUUCCCCACAGCAAGGGAGCCCCUGCCAGAUUCCCCAGCCUUAAUUCUGCUGUUAACACCCCUCAGGGGGAGGGGUGAAGAGUAAAUCCCCUCCUGCAAGAAGCAGACCUGCGGGCAAUGUGGUUUGUUUAAAGUCUCUGAGCUGAGCCACCGACCUCCCAUUUGCUCUGAUGACGUGAGUACUUCAAAAAGAAAAAGAAAAAAACAAAAAAAAACCCAACUCAUCUUUACCUAAGGCAGCACCCAGUUUGUAAAUGUCUCUGCAUAGGACCCUCCCAAAUGGACAUGACCAUGGCAGAAUUUUCCCUUCCUUCUCCCAGCGCCAGUGAACAGAGGGGGGAGCUCCAUGAAUCAACAUUUUCAGAGAGUUUCACAGGCUCCUUUUUCCAUUGAGUUUGCAAGGGGCAUCUUGACUGAAUUAAGAAAUAAAUUCCUGACGAACUUGUGCACACUUUUGGACAAUGAACGAACUGAACACUGAGUGCAAGAAGAAAUCUUAGGCACAUUUAUUUAUUUAUUAUUUAUUUUUUAUUUAUUUUUUGUUUGUUUUUUUUUUUUGUCUUUUUGUCUUUUCUAGGGCCUCUCCCUUGGCACAUGGAGGUUCCCAGAAAAAGCAAAAAGACAAAAAAUAAAAAAGAAAAGAAAAGUUUGGAAACCAUUAGCCUAGACCAUGAAAACCAGUAGACAUUUAAUCCCUGCUCUGCCAAAUGUAGCCAAAGAGCAGGUUGGCCAAAGAGGAACAAUGAAAUCUAACAUUUACUGGGCACCAGUUCUGUGGCAAGGAUUAGAAUAAAUUCUCUCUCCUGAGUGAUCUUGUCUUUCCUGUUCAUCAGCUGUGAGAGACUAAUAGGACUGGCUCCAUUUUUAUGGAUAAGGAAACUGAGGCCCCGAGAGGCACGAUCUGGUGCCAAAACAAGAAUAGUCACUGAUGAGCUAAGACAUCUAGCCAUUAGGAGUUUUUUCUCUGUGACCUUGGAACAAUUACUUUUCCUCUCUGAGCCUUAGUCUCCCCAGUCUUAGAGGACUGGGCUAAGGAUUCAUUGGGUCCAUUGUAACUCUUUGGUCUUCAUCCCCCUCCUCCAUGACCUUCCUGUUGCUUCCUUUCUUCUGUCUUCCCAGGAAUGUGUCAGAGGCAGCCUGGUAUGGCAGAAAGAGAACCUGAGUACUGAGUUCCAAUUCUAAUCCUGUCUUACGCAGACCCUGGUGAAUCACUUAACCUCUCUGAGCCUCACUUUCCCCAACAAUAAAAUGGGGAGGAAAAGAAGAACUACCUUUGAGCAUUGCUGGGAUGAUGGAGUCGAUGAAUGGAGUGCCCAGUCCAGCAGGCGCGAUAUAGCAGGUGUUCAAGUAAAGGUGCAUUCUCUGCACUGCUUUCUCUCAACUUCCCCAGUCACCCCCAUGUCUUGGUUCAUCCCCCUUCCCCGGGCUCGGCUGAAAUGUCACCUUCUCAGUGAGGCCUCCUCUGACCACCCUUUAAAACUAAAUGCCUUUGGCGUUGAUAGAUGCAACCUGUUGCAUUUGGAGUGGAUGGGCAAUGAGACCCUGCUGUAAAGCACAGGAAACUAUAUCUAGUCACUUGCGAUGAAGCAUGAUGGAGGAUAAUGUGAGAAAAAGAAUGUGUGUGUGUGUGUGUGUGUGUGUGUGUGUGUGUGUGUGUAUGACUGGGUCACUUUGCUGUACCACAGAAAUUGGCAGAACAUUGUAAAUCAACUAGAAUAGAAAACAAUAAAAAUCUUUAAAAAAAUAAAUAAAUAAAACUAAACCCUACGAUCCCCCAUUUACAACUCCAUUUUCUGAUUUACUUUUUUCUGUGAGACUCAUCACCACCAAACAUUUAUUUUUCCUGUUUAUUGUGCUUCUCAUUAUUCUCUCCCCUCCUGGAAAGGCCUUGGGAAUCAGUCAUUUUUACGUGCCUGGCUUGCUGCUGUUUUCUUAGCCUAAGAGACAUAGUGGGUCCUUGUAGAUAUUUGCUGAAUGAAAAUGAGAUGAAUGAAUGAAUAUUUGAUCUGGUAAUGAUACCUUCAGAUAAUGCAGGAAAAGCACAGGGCAUCGGUCUUGCACAGAGUAGCUGGGCCAUAAAUGCUCUUGUUCUUGUUUUAUUGGGACCCCAGAAUCCGCUGAGGUUACCCUGUUCAACUUUAAGCUAUACUCGAUUUACCUGAGGAUGUUUCAACAGUUUCCAGCUUUCUUAUUUCUAUUAUCCCUUAAACAGACCUCCAAGUGCCUGUCCCAGUAGCUCAGAGUUCUCUAAGCUGUAUUUCACCAAAGGCUGUAACUGUUACUGUCCCAGGGCCAUUUGCAACUUUCCUUUCCUGAGCACAGAGGUUUGACUAAGCACUUUGUUUAAAGGCAGGAAAUGCAUCAGCUCCCUGUCUUAAUCUUUUUGAAGCGGUUACCCAGGGCUAAGGUCGGGCUUGUCUACAGAUGCUUUGUGCCAAAAGAGUGCCACAGGUAUUAUGGUGUCGGUGAAGAAGAAAAAGCAGUCAUUCUUUAGGUGGGAAUGAAUUCUUUAUGUUUCAGAGGGGGCAGAGCUGCCCAGAACAUCACCCUAGAGGUGGAGCAUGGGCGUGUUAGGAUGGGGGUACUGACAGACACUUUGGGGAGAAACUUGCCCUCUCUGAGCCAAACCAUCCCAAGCCAGACCUUGCUCCCCUCUGGACCUGCUGAGAAAUAUUCCUUGAAACGUUGUUGAUAAUGGCUUUCCUCUCUGUGCUAGCACGAGGUAUCUGCUGAGGGACAUCCAGGGAUCAAACCCGCAUCCAUAGACAUGGAUACUAUGUCAGAUUCUUAACCCACUGAGCCACAAUGAGAACUCCUGCUUUUAUAUUUUUAAUAUUGCUUUUAUUCAAAAUUGUAAUCUUAGACCAAGAAGAGAAUUUUGAGGUGGUAUCCACAGGCUUCAUGAGAUUGUCCAAAGCAUCUGUGAUGCAAAAAGGUGGUGAAGCCAUUCUUGGUGAUGGAGAAGAGGAAGGGAGGCCUUGAGCCAUGAUUCUGGGGCUCAGGGAGUUGCAGAGCUUAGAAACCCAAAGUGGGAACACAGGAUCCUUGAUAUGGUGACACCAUUAAAAAGCUUUAGGAAAGCACACUGAGCAGUAUUCUCCAAAAAUGUCAAAAGGGGAGUUCCGUAUGGGCCUAGCAGUGAAGGAUCCAGCAUUGUCACUGCUAUGGUGUAAGUUUGAUGCCUGGCCCAGGAACUUUCACAUGUCACUGGUAGAGCCAAACCCACUCCCCCUCCAAAAUGUCCAAAGGGGUUCCAGGGUGGAAGCAGAACAUAGCUUUUUGUUUAUUUAUUUUAGAGCUGAACCUGCGACCUAUGGAGGGUCCCAGGCUAGGGGUUGAAUUGGAACUGCAGUUGCCGGCCUACACCACAGCCACAGCAGUGCCAGAUCUUUAACCCACUCAGAGAGGCCAGGGAGCGAACCC